Molecule: non-coding RNA, 22 nt
Filed under: Arabidopsis thaliana (thale cress)
Lineage: Eukaryota; Viridiplantae; Streptophyta; Magnoliopsida; Brassicales; Brassicaceae
Source: RNAcentral
CCGUCUUUGAGUUGUGCGAUGC